This 885-nucleotide unclassified non-coding RNA is filed under the name Hevea brasiliensis (rubber tree). Lineage: Eukaryota; Viridiplantae; Streptophyta; Magnoliopsida; Malpighiales; Euphorbiaceae. The record is from RNAcentral.
GUCAUUUUCCCAAGUUUGUACAAACUGGUAGUACGACGACUCUGUUAGAAGUUCAGUGCGCACCCGCGGUUCAACGACAAUGUUCAAGCUUUUCUGCUCUUUUAGCCAUCUGACCAAUUCUGAACAAAGUAUUCUAACAGCAGUUGAAUUUGGCUUUGUCAAUAUAAGCACCGUUUGUGGGGGAGAUUCCCACUUCAAAGAAAUUUGUUUACUGCUGCGUUCAGCAGUUGUUAUGUUUCCCUUUUCAAAAGAGACGAUGUCGUGUUUUUUCUGAUCACUUUUUUCACCUUUGCAACGCCAUGACAACUUGAAUGAUGCCUUUCUGGUCAUCUUGUUUCGAAUAACACUGGCAUCAUGAUCAUGUUCUCCAUCACGAAGAACCUGAUGAGAGCAAAUUCCAUGCUCCCCACAACACCUGUCGGAUUUCUCCACAGCGCCAUCUGAUAGUAAAGGUUUGUUUGUCAAGUGUACGACUCGCCCAUUCUCAUCUAAAUGCUUCUCCGAUGGCAUUGCUUUAUUCUCUAACUGCAAAUUACGUGUCCUCUCCAAUUCAUAUUUACGCUUCCAUUCAGAAGCCUCAGCUUGUGCAGAAGCCUUUCCUUCAGCAGCUUGUCUUAGUGCCUUUGCGACAGUUCUCAAAGCCUCGGCAAACUCAAUCAGAUGGUCAUCAAUCCCGUGAAGAAUUGGCUGUUGAAUAAGUUCUUCUACAGCCUUCUCAGAAUUCAACAUGGCAAGUGAUUCGCUAAAGGCGUUUUCCAGUGGCAAAACACUAGCACUUCCAUUAGAGGUGUGUUUGUUUGGAGACAUAGGAGUCUGUUUCAUUGACAUGAAAAAUUCAACAAUUCACCAAACACUUCCCUCUUUCUCUCUCUAAAACUAAUCUCU